AGCUUUGUGUAGUGGCAAUAUCAUAGCCAAUGAGGUUUAUCUGAGGUGCAGUUAUUGCUAAUUAGAAACAUUUCCCAAUUGUUGACUCGGUACUUGUCCACCUGGAUAGAUAUAGACUCCUUUUGAGACUGUGCUGGCACA
Small nuclear RNA from Dipodomys spectabilis (banner-tailed kangaroo rat), 141 nucleotides. RefSeq annotates it as U4 spliceosomal RNA. NCBI's taxonomy places the organism in Eukaryota, Metazoa, Chordata, Mammalia, Rodentia, Heteromyidae. The transcript has a single exon. The record is from RefSeq and is a predicted model, not a curated record.